Molecule: ribosomal RNA, 253 nt
Filed under: uncultured bacterium
Lineage: Bacteria
Description: partial 16S ribosomal RNA
Rfam family: Bacterial small subunit ribosomal RNA
Source: RNAcentral
UACGAAGGUCCCAAGCGUUGUUCGGAAUCACUGGGCGUAAAGGGAGCGUAGGCGGCGUGGUAAGUCAGAUGUGAAAUCCCGGGGCUCAACCCCGGAACUGCAUCCGAUACUGCCAUGCUUGAGGGUUGGAGAGGUAGCUGGAAUUAUCGGUGUAGCAGUGAAAUGCGUAGAUAUCGAGAGGAACACCUGCGGCGAAGGCGGGUUGCUGGGCUGACACUGACGCUGAUGCGCGAAAGCUAGGGGAGCGAACGGG